Molecule: ribosomal RNA, 261 nt
Filed under: uncultured archaeon
Lineage: Archaea
Description: partial 16S ribosomal RNA
Rfam family: Archaeal small subunit ribosomal RNA
Source: RNAcentral
CAGCUGUAAACGAUGCAGGCUAGGUGUUUGGACGGCCACGUGCCGUUCUAGUGCCGCAGGGAAGCUGUUAAGCCUGCCGCCUGGGGAGUACGAUCGCAAGAUUGAAACUUAAAGGAAUUGGCGGGGGAGCACCACAAGGGGUGAAGCUUGCGGUUUAAUUGGAGUCAACGCCGGAAAUCUCACCGGGAGCGACAGCAGUGUGAAGGCCAGAUUAAAGGUCUUGCCAGACGAGCUGAGAGGAGGUGCAUGGCGUCAGUGACU